AUAAUAUAUAUGGUGGCACAGUAUUCUAGUCAGAUUCCACCGCUCGGAGACGGGGUUAAAAUAUCGUCGAAGGGCAUAUCUGUGAAGUUCCUGGUGAUGGCUUCUUUUGCCCAAAUUGGGGCUGUUGCUGGGAGUUAAGGAUUUUGGGCGGCUUGCAACGGCAUGCGAACCCCGACCCAAUUUCCGUGGAGACCCAACUCGGUAGGAGGUUUAAUACCCUCGCUACUGACUGGGACAUGAACCUGUUUUGCGGUGUGCUUUGCGCGCUGUGGGCAGAGUAGCCUGCUUUGAGUGGAAUGUAGGGAUUAAGGAACACGAAGUAUAGUAAUGGCCAUUGCGACGCUUCGAUUGCCUUAUGAAAUACACUUUGCAAAAAAAGAUAAGGGUGGACGGAAUCUGUCAAGGAAAACUUCUAGACUGUUCUUUGAGACGGCUUGGGGAUUAUAGUGUAUUCUAAGUGGCGAUUCGGUUCUUGUUGGGAAACCGCAAGUGCGCAGAGUAAUUGGAAACAUCUUGGACGGCGACGACGAGUUUCUGCGUAGGGAAAUCCUACCGAACCUAUGGUGCAAGGUUUACCCAAGUUGUUGCCACCAUACCCC
This 599-nucleotide small RNA is filed under the name bovine gut metagenome. The record is from RNAcentral.